GUGCUCCAACAGGGCCCCUGAGCAGGACUGGAGGCAGUCAGAGAAGGACCUGUGGGAGCAGCUGGUAGAAAGCAGGCGGCAGAGGGCCGAGCUGGCCAGCCAUCUUCGAGCAGUGCUGGAGGCCCUAUCGGAGCAAGCCCUUGUGCUGCAGAGGCGAGAGCAUGAGCUGGGACUCAGCUGGUCCUAAAGCAGAAACAUGCCACAGCAGUUCUGCUGGCCUCCAUCCUGAAACCCGUCAGCAGCUGGAGAGCAGCUGGAGAGGCAAUGUAUCUCAGACCCAGCUGGAGGCAGAGGAUGCACAGCUGGAGCGUGUCGUGAUAGAUAACAGCCGAAAGCAGCCCCUCAGGGCCCCAGGGCAGGGGUCCAUGCUGGGCUGUCAGCUGGGCUGUUGGCUGCCAGUCCGCCUGCGUUAUCAGAGGCUGCAGACACUGCCCUGCCUGGUGGGAGGCAGGGAAGCUAGGCCUACCUAUCCGAGGCUCUGUGCUGCCUUUGACCCUCCCACUCAGUCUCCUCCCAGCAAGUGGAGUGGCCUGGCCUGCCUGGAGCAGGAGAGGCACCAAAGGCAGGGAUCCCAGGGACAGGCUGAGUGGAGGAGGCCAGACCAGGACAUAGAAGACAAUACACUCCAGGUCCCGGAGGUACUAGUGCCCCUCAGGAAACAGCUAGAAGCACAAGAAUCACAUCCCAGGCUUUGUGAGGAGAUGGCUGAGUACUGGAGGACACGCUGGCACCAGGUGGCAGUUGCCCUGAAAUUUAAAGAGGAGGAACUGCAAAGACUCCAGAUGCAGAGUGGGACCUGGCCUCCCCAGGAGCUGUGGGACCCAGGUCUGCCAAGGAACUGGAGUCUGCAGUGUGGACUCCACCAGAGGCCAAUGGGGAGUGGGACCUGCUGUAGGUCUGAGCACCAAGGGCUCCCGCACCAGGAGGACAGGAGCCUCCAGUCAUCUCCACUUCACAACCCCUGAAAGCCUCAGCUUGUGGAUCCAGAGCUGGGUACUGAGCCGUACUGGACCAGCGGGCCCUCUCCUGGGAUCGCUGGACUUGGAGCAGAAGAGACCCUCCAGGACUGAAGACUGGACACACAAAACUUGGGAAUUGUCAACUGACCUAUUAUUCACCUCGUGAAAAAAGCUGGAUUUAAAUGAGCGCGAAUGGAGCUGACAAUUCCCAGAAACUCGAAUUGGGAUGGUGAGAUUUUAGUUCAGCCCAGGGCGGUCUCAUGCGUGGGUGGUAAAGUUGAGCUUUGAGGUGGUCUUCAGAGGGAGAGGAAUACGCUUCCCGGGUUCCGGGCCCUUCGGGAUGUCAACACAGGUCCAGCUGCCCUUAGGCUCCUCCGCACACCCUGGAUCCAAUAAUAAAUGCCUUUCCUCUCUGCCGCCA
RNAcentral lists this long non-coding RNA (1380 nucleotides) under Piliocolobus tephrosceles (Ugandan red Colobus). Its description in RNAcentral is "lncRNA (ENSPTEG00000023719.1)". The record is from RNAcentral. Lineage: Eukaryota; Metazoa; Chordata; Mammalia; Primates; Cercopithecidae.